GACGAACGCUGGCGGCGUGCUUAACACAUGCAAGUCGAACGGAAAGGCCCUGCUUGCAGGGUACUCGAGUGGCGAACGGGUGAGUAACACGUGGGUGAUCUGCCCUGCACUUCGGGAUAAGCCUGGUAAACUGGGUCUAAUACCGGAUAGGAGCCAUUUUUAGUGUGAUGGUUGGAAAGUUUUUUCGGUGUAGGAUGAGCUCGCGGCCUAUCAGCUUGUUGGUGGGGUAAUGGCCUACCAAGGCGGCGACGGGUAGCCGGCCUGAGAGGGUGGACGGCCACAUUGGGACUGGGAUACGGCCCAGACUCCUACGGGAGGCAGCAGUGGGGAAUAUUGCACAAUGGGCGCAAGCCUGAUGCAGCGACGCCGCGUGGGGGAUGACGGCCUUCGGGUUGUAAACUCCUUUCGCUAGGGACGAAGCUUUUUGUGACGGUACCUAGAUAAGAAGCACCGGCUAACUACGUG
RNAcentral lists this ribosomal RNA (465 nucleotides) under uncultured bacterium. RNAcentral describes it as "partial 16S ribosomal RNA". It matches the Rfam family "Bacterial small subunit ribosomal RNA", at positions 28 to 507 of the family's 1533-position model. The record is from RNAcentral.